GACGAUGAUGAGAGGAAUGUUCUGACUUGGUAGUGCCUCCAUUGGAAGGCCCUGAUCAAGGUGUGAUUAGACAUAAUCUUCUCUCUGAGUCU
Molecule: small nucleolar RNA, 92 nt
Organism: Conger conger (European conger)
Lineage: Eukaryota; Metazoa; Chordata; Actinopteri; Anguilliformes; Congridae
Product: Z30 small nucleolar RNA
Exons: 1
Source: RefSeq, a predicted model, not a curated record